UGCCGCGCUGGCUGGAAUCCAGAGACCCCACGGGCGAAGUCCCUCUGCAGCCUCCUCAGCCACCAUUUGGACCACUUGUCUUGGGAGAAAAGCCUUUCGUGGAAUAGAGGCAGUGGCUUUGGCAGAAGUGUUCCCAUGGGAUCUGCACGGUGGCCUUGGGAGUGGCAGCUGCCUCCCUGGAGUCCCUGCUGGGGACAGCGGAGCAGCCAGACCACAGGCUUCUCCCACCUGGCCAGACAGGCCACCCUGCCAGCGUGACCAAGGCCUCAGGUUGGGGGGCCACUCAGUGCUGGUGUCUGCAAAAUUGCGAGGACAGAGCUUGCCGCAG
Molecule: long non-coding RNA, 328 nt
Organism: Lemur catta (Ring-tailed lemur)
Lineage: Eukaryota; Metazoa; Chordata; Mammalia; Primates; Lemuridae
Exons: 3
Source: RefSeq, a predicted model, not a curated record